AUUGGUCCUAGUCCUAAUCUUAACUAUUUUUUCCUUGAUACAUGCAAGUUAUAAACAUCCCUGUGCAAAUUAAAAAUAUUUACACUUUUAUAAAAAAUAAAUAUUUAAUAAUAUUAGUCUUUAAUUUUUUUUAAAACUACUAUAUUUAGAAUAAUUCCACAACUGCAGUACUUAAUAUUUUACAAUAAGUGAAAACUUGAUACAGGAAAAAAAUUUAGAGUUGGUAAAUUAUGUGCCAGCCACCGCGGUUAUACAUAAAACUCUAGUUAAAAACUUACGGUUAAAAAGGUGGUUAAAUAUAAGUCCUAUUUAUAAGAUUCACAUUUCCUUUAGUAGUAAUAAACUAACAGAAUCCUAAUCCAUUUAAUCUUUUAUUAAUUUAAUUGAAUCCACGAAAACUCAAAAAUAAACUGGGAUUAGAUACCCCACUAUAUGAGUCAUUAAAUAAGUAAAUACCUGAGUACUACAAAUUAAAUUUUAAAACUCUAAGGACUUGGCGGUUUUUUAAACCUUUCUGGAGGAGCUUGCUAUUAAACCGAUAACCCACGUUACACCCUCACCAAUUCUUUGAAAAACCAACCUGU
Molecule: ribosomal RNA, 584 nt
Filed under: Hymenaster pellucidus
Lineage: Eukaryota; Metazoa; Echinodermata; Asteroidea; Velatida; Pterasteridae
Description: partial 12S ribosomal RNA
Source: RNAcentral